AUUGAACGCUGGCGGCAGGCCUAACACAUGCAAGUCGAGCGGAUGAAGGGAGCUUGCUCCUGGAUUCAGCGGCGGACGGGUGAGUAAUGCCUAGGAAUCUGCCCGGUAGUGGGGGAUAACGUCCGGAAACGGGCGCUAAUACCGCAUACGUCCUGAGGGAGAAAGUGGGGGAUCUUCGGACCUCACGCUAUCAGAUGAGCCUAGGUCGGAUUAGCUAGUUGGUGGGGUAAAGGCCUACCAAGGCGACGAUCCGUAACUGGUCUGAGAGGAUGAUCAGUCACACUGGAACUGAGACACGGUCCAGACUCCUACGGGAGGCAGCAGUGGGGAAUAUUGGACAAUGGGCGAAAGCCUGAUCCAGCCAUGCCGCGUGUGUGAAGAAGGUCUUCGGAUUGUAAAGCACUUUAAGUUGGGAGGAAGGGCAGUAAGUUAAUACCUUGCUGUUUUGACGUUACCAACAGAAUAAGCACCGCUAAUUCC
RNAcentral lists this ribosomal RNA (480 nucleotides) under Pseudomonas aeruginosa. Its description in RNAcentral is "bacterial SSU rRNA". It matches the Rfam family "Bacterial small subunit ribosomal RNA", at positions 30 to 504 of the family's 1533-position model. Lineage: Bacteria; Pseudomonadati; Pseudomonadota; Gammaproteobacteria; Pseudomonadales; Pseudomonadaceae. The record is from RNAcentral.